CCUGUAUUUGUUUCUUGCGUUUGUCUCCACUUGCACAUUAGUGUUUGGGAGAUGUUUGGGACAGUGGGCAAGCUGUGCCCUUUCUCCCCAGGCUGAGCUGGGUAGUCCAAGGAUGCUGGAGUAUCCAUGACAAAAGCAGACAGUGUGUAUGUGGAUUGGACCCCCAGGACCAUGGCCCUCGCCCAUCCAGGCAAUGUGGAAGAGCUGUAUGAGCUGCAGGAUAAGCUGGGCAGGAUCCAGGGAGGGGAGUUUUUUGACUUUGUGGCUGAGAAGGAGUCAUUGUCAGAGCCUCAAGCCUCAGACUUCCUGUUACAACUCCUAGAUGGAUUGGUUUAUAUGCAUUCCUUCAACAUCACCCACUUUGACCUCGAGGGAACGGAUGACAUCAGCUCAAGCUCUCCUUCACCCAUGGAUUAAGGUAUUGCAUUGAGAAUUUGGGUUCAUUACUUACCCUGAAAACCCCCAGCCACAUAGUGCCAACCUGAAGAGGCAUGGGGGGGUGAGACUCAUCAGUCUCCAGGCCAGAGCACUGAAGAUCUGGAUCAGUGGGCAAAGGAGGUGGUGAGCACAUGUCAGGUUGAGCUGCCUUCUGGUUAGGACAGCUAGAUGAAUCAGCACCCAUUAUGUUCUUAGCCUCUGACCAUCAAACAGGAGAAGAAUCGAGACUGCUCCUUUAUCAACAUAACUAGCUUCCGCAAGUUCAAUUCUCAGCGUAAGUGGAAGGUGAGCUACACAGACAUCUGUUUCCCAUUGUGAGUUUAGCCCCU
This 767-nucleotide long non-coding RNA is filed under the name Vombatus ursinus (common wombat). RNAcentral's name for it is "lncRNA (ENSVURG00010013941.1)". The record is from RNAcentral. Lineage: Eukaryota; Metazoa; Chordata; Mammalia; Diprotodontia; Vombatidae.